GGGAGAGCAACUUCCCCUCUAUUUCCACUUCAAAUGAGCCACCAUAACACAUUCAGAGCUGCUUUGGGGUUGGGGUUAAAUUAGGGCAAGAAGAAAGAGUUGGGGGGGGGGGAUAGAGAUUAAGGUUUGGGUAUGGGAAGAUCAUCCAGCAAUAGAGGUCAAUGCAAAAAUCCCCAUCUUCCUUUGAGGAAAGUUUGGAUAUAAACACACACAUAUACAUACUAGUUAUGUAUAUAUAUAUAUUAUAUAUAUGUAUAUAUAAUUCUCCUCCACAGUUAGCAUUUCUUCCAAAAAUAAAACAUUUAAAGCUGUAUAUUUAAAGAUUAUCUAUGUGCACUGCACCAGAUAACCAAGUACCGUAGUGAUAUUAUCCGGCUAAGGGAAUACUCUAUUUGUGUGGGUUUUCACACAUACACACAGAUAUUUAAGUUCAAUUUGUUGUACCAUUUUUUUGUGUGUGUGAUGACUAGGACAAAAAAAAGGGCCAUCUCUCUCUUUCUUGGGGAGAGGUGGAAUAUGUGACUUUUCUCUGUAUGGGAGAAACAAAAACACAACCGCACUGGGGCAGGGAGAAGGUCGCUAGGCCAACUAAAUUGGAAGUUGGAUGGGCCUUGCUUUUUCUGGAGAAAGGUGGUUCGGGAAGAGGAAAGGGGGGGGGGGUAAACGGUGAGAGGGCUGAGGAAAAAAGGAAGGGAAGAGUCAGUUCAAAAAAAAAAAGGAAGAAAAGGAAGGAGGGGAAAAUACUCGGAAAGCUUAAAUAAAAGAUACAAGAAGAAAGGGGAAAAAAGCAGGCUCAGUCAUGGCCGCCCAGUUGAGAGCUCAGUCACAAACAUACAUACAUACACACACAAACGCGCACACAUACACACACAUACAUACACGCGCACGCAGGCGCGCACACGGCGGGCAGCAAGCACUGCGCUUUGGUGCGCUCCUCGUCUCCCCCCCUCCCACCCCCCGUCUCCAAGAUGGGGGGCAGGGGAGGUGGAGACGGAGGGCAGUGGGGUGUGCAAGGGUCGGACUAAGCUCCUCACCCCACCCACAAGUCUUCGUAAGGUCCCUGGUGAGUCCCACCUGCCCCCUGUGGAUCAAGGCGAUCCGAGUUGAACAAAGCGGGCUAGACGCCACCUUUCCACACCCCCCCUACCCAGUGAAGGGCGGCGGCGAGGGGGAAGGUUCCCCCAUCUGGACCCCGACUCCUAGGCUAGUGCCGAGGGGGUGGGUAAGAAGCAUCACAGGGGAGUUGGGAGCCGUGCGUCCAGGGAGAGGCCAGGGCGCGGCCCCUGCGCCUCCGCGGCGGGGUGCCCCAUUGCUUUCAAGACAGCAACGG
This 1330-nucleotide long non-coding RNA is filed under the name Monodelphis domestica (gray short-tailed opossum). RNAcentral's name for it is "lncRNA (ENSMODG00000044609.1)". Lineage: Eukaryota; Metazoa; Chordata; Mammalia; Didelphimorphia; Didelphidae. The record is from RNAcentral.